Long non-coding RNA from Hordeum vulgare subsp. vulgare (domesticated barley), 1065 nucleotides. RefSeq lists it as uncharacterized. The transcript is spliced from 3 exons. The record is from RefSeq and is a predicted model, not a curated record. NCBI's taxonomy places the organism in Eukaryota, Viridiplantae, Streptophyta, Magnoliopsida, Poales, Poaceae.
AUGUGUGCCUCUGGUCACCAUAUUGUUUUUAUACUUCCUGUACAAUCUUAUACUCUUGUUUAUCAAUACUAAAUGAUCCUCAAACAUCUAUGACACCUUUUUUGGUGUAGUUGUAAAUAAGCAGGCCUCAGUUUUAUUUUUUCAUUGAUAUGCAUCUGUACUUUUGUAAACUAAAAUAUGUUUGUAUGAUUAGCAAAUCCUUUAAAAGGAUGACUCCAGUCAUUAGUUUCAGAGAUGGGUACCUAGAAGGCUAGAAGCUUGGUAUACUUUGAAGAGUAACAUACUUUCAAGAACAAUUUCUGAACAGACUCUCCUAUGCUCUCUAAUGUGCGCAGUUGCUUCACCUGUACUGUGUGUACAUUUGUUCUCUUCUGCAAUAUCAUGGAGACUAGAAACCACCCAUUUGUACUCGGCAUUACAAUUUUCUUGGGCAGGAGCUGCAUACAAUUUGGUUGAAGUAGCGAGACGGUCCCGUGCUCCUAGCACUAGCACCUUUGUACGUGGAGACUCUUGGAAAAGCUGGCCUAGCUGCUAGACAACCCAUUAUCUCAUAAUGCAGAUAAACUGAAGAUGAGGCAGCCGUGUUUGGCUUCGCGGCCGUUAUUUGACCCCAAUUUCACCGGCAGAUGUUUGUCGACUCAAGAUUCUAGAUGGCUAGCCAUGCUUGGAAGCUAGAGCAUUCCUCCGUUGUCUUGAUGGAGCUGGAAGAGAAGAAGUGGUGACUGGUGAGAGAACCAAAGAAACUCCCAUGUAGGCUCCUCUCUACUUAUAACAAAAACAAUCUGUUGAUGCCCUCGUUUACUUUCUGUAGCCAUGUCUUGAGUAUUGGCGGCAAGAUUUGAUUCCCCUCGUGCAGCAUCACUGGCUGGUGAGGUGUCCAAAACAUUUGGCAUCUCAUCUGAAUUUUAGAAUACGGGUAUAAUGCACAUCGACAUCUUGGAAGGAAGCCAUGUGCUAUGCAGAGUUUUUUUUACUACACACGCGCAUCCAGUUCAGCUAAUCGCUGUGCUAUGUUACAACUUAUUGCAGCAAUAAUAUUCAAAUAGUACAGUGGGAGUUACUUAA